Oryctolagus cuniculus (rabbit) is the source of this 103-nucleotide small nuclear RNA. The record is from Ensembl. NCBI's taxonomy places the organism in Eukaryota, Metazoa, Chordata, Mammalia, Lagomorpha, Leporidae.
GCACUCACUUCGGCAGCGCAUAUAUAAAAGCUGGAAGGAUACAGAGAUUAGCAUGGCCCCCACAUAAGGAUGAUACACAAUUUGUAAAGCAUUCCAUAUUUUU